This 373-nucleotide ribosomal RNA is filed under the name uncultured bacterium. RNAcentral describes it as "bacterial SSU rRNA". It matches the Rfam family "Bacterial small subunit ribosomal RNA", at positions 523 to 898 of the family's 1533-position model. The record is from RNAcentral.
ACACGUAAGGGGCAAGCGUUGUUCGGAAUUAUUGGGCGUAAAGGGCGCGUAGGCGGACCUGCAAGCCCGGCGUGAAAUCCUGGAGCUUAACUCCGGAACUGCGCUGGGAACUGCGGGACUAGAGUCAUGGAGGGGGAGUUGGAAUUCCAGGUGUAGGGGUGAAAUCUGUAGAUAUCUGGAAGAACACCGGUGGCGAAGGCGAACUUCUAGCCAAUGACUGACGCUGAGGCGCGAAAGUGCGGGGAGCAAACAGGAUUAGAUACCCUGGUAGUCCGCACAGUAAACGAUGCACACUAGGUGUUGGGUCGAGCGACUCGGUGCCGAAGCUAACGUGAUAAGUGUGCCGCCUGGGGAGUAUGCCCGCAAGGGUGAA